UACGAAGGGGGCGAGCGUUGUUCGGAUUUACUGGGCGUAAAGGGCGCGCAGGCGGUUCUGUUUGUCGAGUGUGAAAGCCCCGGGCUCAACCUGGGAACUGCGCUCGAAACGGCGGAACUAGAGUUCGGGAGAGGAGAGUGGAAUUCCUAGUGUAGAGGUGAAAUUCGUAGAUAUUAGGAAGAACACCAGUGGCGAAGGCGGCUCACUGGCCCGGUACUGACGCUGAGGCGCGAAAGCGUGGGGAGCAAACAGG
RNAcentral lists this ribosomal RNA (253 nucleotides) under uncultured bacterium. Its description in RNAcentral is "partial 16S ribosomal RNA". It matches the Rfam family "Bacterial small subunit ribosomal RNA", at positions 524 to 776 of the family's 1533-position model. The record is from RNAcentral.